Molecule: long non-coding RNA, 457 nt
Filed under: Mytilus galloprovincialis (Mediterranean mussel)
Lineage: Eukaryota; Metazoa; Mollusca; Bivalvia; Mytilida; Mytilidae
Source: RNAcentral
UGAAAAAAAUGUUAAUAUCAAAAGGUAAGAAAGCUUAUUGUUGUUUUUUCCUUUCAGUGUUGAUUCCCAUAGAUCAUGUAGAUUAUAACCAUUUUUUUAAUGCAGGAUUGUCAAUUUUCCUUACGAUGGUGGUUGGUUUCUCAUGGCAAUCCUGCUUCCUCCAACAAUAAAACUGGCCACCAGGAAAAUAGCCCAAAAUUUGGUGCUCAAAUGUGGCAUUUAAACACCAACAAUUAAUCAAUCAAUUCAUUCAUUAAUUUAAUAACUGAUUUAACCAGAUGCUCUGCAGGGUGCAGCUUUAUACGACCGCAGAGGUUGAACCCUGAACAGUUGGGGCAAGUAUGGACACAACAUUCAAGCUGGAUUCAGCUCUAAAUUUGGAUUGUGAUUAAAUAGUUGACACAGCAUAGGUUUCUGACACAGAAUGAAUGUGGUCUAAUGAACUUAAAAUACUUUU